UACGUAGGGUGCGAGCGUUAAUCGGAAUUACUGGGCGUAAAGCGUGCGCAGGCGGUCUGUUAAGACCGAUGUGAAAUCCCCGGGCUUAACCUGGGAACUGCAUUGGUGACUGGCAGGCUUUGAGUGUGGCAGAGGGAGGUAGAAUUCCACGUGUAGCAGUGAAAUGCGUAGAGAUGUGGAGGAACACCAAUGGCGAAGGCAGCCCCCUGGGAUAACACUGACGCUCAGGCACGAAAGCGUGGGGAGCAAACAGG
Molecule: ribosomal RNA, 254 nt
Filed under: uncultured bacterium
Lineage: Bacteria
Description: partial 16S ribosomal RNA
Rfam family: Bacterial small subunit ribosomal RNA
Source: RNAcentral